This 283-nucleotide small nuclear RNA is filed under the name Nannospalax galili (Upper Galilee mountains blind mole rat). RNAcentral describes it as "7SK RNA (ENSNGAG00000004681.1)". It matches the Rfam family "7SK RNA". Rfam says of the family: 7SK was discovered as an abundant small nuclear RNA in the mid-70s but a possible function has only recently been suggested. Two independent studies have found that 7SK RNA binds the CDK9/cyclin T complex (known as elongation factor P-TEFb). The record is from RNAcentral. Lineage: Eukaryota; Metazoa; Chordata; Mammalia; Rodentia; Spalacidae.
GGAUGUGAGGGUGAUCUGGCUGCGACAUCUGUCACCCCAUUGAUCACCAGGGUUGAUUUGGCUGAUCUGGCUGGCUAGGCAGGUGUCCCCUUCCCCCUUCAAUGCUCCACGUGCAUCCCUCUGGAAGCUGCACAUUCUGUCCAAGAGGACAACGUUCCCAAUAGAGGAAGACCGGUCUUUGGUCAAGGGUAUACGAGUAGCUGCCCUCCCCAGCCAGAGCCUCCAAACAAGCUCUCAAGCUCCGAACUCUAGCAGCUGAAUCCAGAGCCAAGGACCCUAUCUU